GAUGAAGAACGCAGCGAAAUGCGAUAAGUAAUGUGAAUUGCAGAAUUCAGUGAAUCAUCGAAUCUUUGAACGCACAUUGCGCCCCUUGGUAUUCCGGGGGGCAUGCCUGUUCGAGCGUCAUUAUAACCCCUCAAGCUCAGCUUGGUGCUGGGGCCUGCCGACUGGCAGCCCUUAAAAUCAGUGGCGGCGCCAUCUGGCUCUAAGCGUAGUAAUUUCUCUCGCUAUAGAGUCCCGGUGGAUGCUUGCCAGCAACCCCCAACUUUCUAUGGUUGACCUCGGAUCAGGUAGGGAUACCCGCUGAACUUAAGCAUAUCAAUAAGCGGAGGA
Molecule: unclassified non-coding RNA, 327 nt
Filed under: soil metagenome
Description: partial contains 5.8S ribosomal RNA, internal transcribed spacer 2, and large subunit ribosomal RNA
Rfam family: 5.8S ribosomal RNA (bases 1-120)
Source: RNAcentral